This 654-nucleotide long non-coding RNA is filed under the name Equus caballus (horse). Its description in RNAcentral is "lncRNA (ENSECAG00000057363.1)". The record is from RNAcentral. Lineage: Eukaryota; Metazoa; Chordata; Mammalia; Perissodactyla; Equidae.
GGGCUUUUCACUGAUGUUGACAAAGAGAAUCAACGGAACAUGAUGAAGGCCCAGAAACAAACAAAUAUGUGUGUACAUACAUAUAGAGACAGAGAGAGAGAGAGACAGAGAGGGAAAUGGUUCAUUUUAUGUGUCAACUUGCCCUGGUUCUCAGGCCUUCAGACAGGCUGGGAUGUCACCAUUGACUACCCUGGUUCUUGGGCCUUCGGGCUUGGACUGGACCUACCCCACCAGCUUUCCUGGGCCUCCCACUUGCAGAUGGCAGAUGGAGGGAUUUCUCAGUCUCCAUAAUCAGAAUAGACUAGAGGAAGGAGCGGAAGCAGAGUUGGUCUGAGAAAGCGGGGCUGACGAGGGCAGAUGGAGGAAAUGACACAGGCAAAUCUGGAACCCUGACCACUGUCACACAGAGCCUAGGUGGCAGCAAGCCUGGGUCACCUUUAGAGAGACCAUGGAGGGAAGUCCCAGGACUCCGGGCAGUUUCCAAGGCCAGCAACUGAUCACAGAUUUCUUCCCAUUGGCUGGAAGUAUAAUAAACACACGUUACAGCCUGACUGACUCCAGAGAGAAUCCUCUAACGGUUCAGGGGAAAGAGGAGAAAAUGCAGCUCUUUGCCCUUUUCCCUCCCUCUUAGCAUGAGUCGAAUGCUAACCUGAA